CUGGACAGCUCUGCCUUCUCAAAAUUACACCCAAAAUAAUCACGGUUUGAUCCUUCUGGCAAGCUUAGUUUCCAGAUCAAGUCAGUCAACCCCACAUCCUUGGCUGAUUCACUUGCCUUUUCCUUAUCAAUCCUCUCCUCACUCCCAAAAUAUGGAUGUAUGGGCAACACCCCUUUAAUCUUUACCUCAUCACAACCCUUUUGAAUGGCCCUGAUAGCAAUAUUGUGCGCAAUGUUCCCUCCGGCGCUGUCCCCUGACAGAAACACACGAGAGAGGUCAGCUCUCUGAAGCCAUGGUUCAGAGCUCACCUGCUUACUUAGCCACUCUAGUGAGCAAUAACAAUCAUCAUAAGCUGUAGGGAGCCUGUGUUCAGGAGCAAGGCGGUAGUCCACAGAGAGGACUAUUGAUUGGGCGGCCACGGCAAAGUCUCCAAGGAAAGUGUGGUAGCCAAGCCAUGUGGCUGUGCCGAUGCAGAAACCGCCGCCAUGGAAGUAAACUAGAACUGGCAGGAGGCUAGAGGAAGCCGGAGUAUCAGGGACAAAAAUCCUCCCAGAAAUUGGUUUUGUUGAGUCAAUUAUCACAUCCUUGGACUUGUAUCCUGUGGAUGAUGAAUCUUCUGAGGCAGGGGAGGUUUCACGUUCAGGGCGUUUUACUGAACCAUCAGAGAAGAUUUGAAUGACGCCUGGCUCUUCUGCAACCAUGGACAUGGUUAUCAAAACCUUUUUAGUUGGGAUGAUCUGAAAGUGGCAAAUUUCUGUGAAAUUGCAGAGAGUUUUCUGAUGCUGUUAGAUAGGAUUGUUGUGGAUGACAAUAAUGCCGUGAAAAUUUUGGAGAAGUCUAAGAACAUUAGAGAGGUUGAUUGCACGCAAAAGCCAAUGAAUACAAACAAAAUCUGUGGAUCGAUGGAUAAGAGAAAAUAAAAUGGACUGGUGGGUGGGUGGGAAUAGGAAGGAAAGUCCAAGAAAAUUACAGAGGUUGAUGGCACACAAAGGGCGGCCGGUCUGAGGUCUUGUCUUUAUUAUCUUCAUCCGGAAAUUUUUUAAAUACGGUGUUAUUUUAAAUUAUACUCAUUUUUUUUAAUUUAAUAAAAAAAAUUAUUACGCAAAAAUACUUUGAAUCAAACCAUCUUGAUAUAAUUUUUUUUAUUUUUAAAAAUAAUUUAAAAUUUAAAAACUAAUUUAAUUAAUACUAAAUAGUUAUGAAAUUCAAUAAUAUUAAAAAGUUAUACAUUAAAUUCAUAAUUUUCCUUUUAUAUAUAAUCAUAUUUUUGUAAGUUUUUUUCACUAAGAAAACAAAUUCAAAAUCAAGUAAUGCAUAAUGUGUUGAAUUUACUAAUUAGUUUAAUGAUUUUUUAAAAAUAACUUAAAACUUAAAUGAUAAUCUAAUCAAUAUCGAAAAUUUGUGGACAAAAUUUGAUUCAAAAUGACUUUAUUAUUUUUUUAUAUAUAUAAUUUUUUUUUUGGAGUUUUUUCAAUUAACAAGACACAUACAAUUUUUUUUAAAAAUUAUUUAAAACCCCAAUUAAUAUCAUAAAUUUAUAAAUAAAAAUUAGUGUAUAAUAACUCUAUUAUUUUUUCUAUGUAGAAAUAUAUUUUUAUAAAAUUUCUCAUUUUCUCAUUAGAAAAAGGAACUUUAAAUCUAGUGAUAUUUUAUAUUGAAUUUAUUAAUGAGUUUAAUAAUUUUUAAAAAUAAUUUGGAAUUUAAACAAUGUUAAAAAGUUAAAACGUUAACCUUUGUUUAUUUUUUAAUUCAUUUUAAAUAAGAUGUUAACAUCUUAAUUCAUUUUUGUUCAUUUGUUCAUAUUAAUUAUUAUUAUUAUUUAUUUAAAAAAACCAAAAAGGAAUUAUAAUAUUAGAAAGAUGUUAAUAUCAGAAAAUAUAUUAAAAUAGGCUUUUUAUAUAAAAAGAAAUAUAAUAUCUGAUUUUAGUACAAUAUUACUAUUUAUUACUAAAAAUGAUUUAUUUUUUAAUAUAUUUGUAAUUACAAUUUUUUUUUCAUUUUAAUAAGAUUUAAAUUAAAUUUAAUAAAUAUAAUAUAAAUUAAAUUUUCGCUUUUGUGUUGAAACCCCACUUUGAAAAUGCAAUUUCGAUAUAAAAUCUAAAAUCAAAUAUUUUAAAUGCAACUUCAAUUCAAAAUUAGAAGCUAUGGGUUUGUUUGACAACAUUUUCCGAAAACAUUUUUUUAUUUUUCAAAACAAAAAAUUUUAAAAACAUGUUUUACAAAAAAGAAAACUGUUUUUUUAUUUUUUAUUCUCAAUAACAGAAAAUAUGAUAUUUUCAUAUAAUAUCAUUUAUUUGUUUUUAGUUAUUUUCACUUUUUUUUUAAGAGUUAUUUUAAAAAUACUAUAUAAACAUAUAUAAUGAUUAAAAAUAAAGUUAUGAACAUAAAAUUAUUUUUAAAACACAUUUAAAAAUAUUAAAAAUAUAUUAAAAACAUUUUAAAUUAGCUAAUAAACUUUUGUGAUACAAAACAUUAAAGAACAAUUUUCAAAAACUGUUCUUAAAAAAUAUUUUUUUAAACUGUUUUAAAAAACAUUUAACAAACAGAGUACAUAUUUUGAAAUUCAACUUCAAUGCAAAAUCAGAAAAUUAAUUAUACUCUUAAUAAAUAAUAAAUUUAAUUUAUUUUAAAAUAUCUCAAAACUAUUUCUUAUUCAUUUAAAAAAACAAAAAGGAAUUAUACUCUUACAAAGAUGUUAAUAUUCAUAAAAUAUAUUAAAAUAGGUUUUUUUAUAUAAAAAGAAAUAUAAUUUCUGAUUUUAGUAUAAUAUUACUAUUUAUUACUAAAAAUUAUUUAUUUUUUAAUACAUUUGUAAUUAAUUUUUUUUUCAUUUUAAUAAGACUUAAAUUAAAUUUAAUAAAUAUAAUACAAAUUAAAUUUGCAAUGUUUUUAUGAAAAUGAAAAUAAAAAAACUAUUUUUUGAAAAGCAAAAUACCUCAAAACAUAAGUAUAAUAUUUUCUUUUUCUUUUCACUUAGAGAAAUAUUUAUAGUUUUAUUAACUUUUAAGUUAAAAGAGAAGAAAAUCUUUAUUUGGAAAUCUCUUUUAAUUAAAAAAAAAAAAAAGGAAUUUCUCUCAGUUUGCCAGAAUAAAAUUUCUUUUGAAAUAUACUAGUUGUGUAAUCAACAUGACAUCAUCCAUUCUGCUCAAUUACAUUACUUGAAAAUGAGUUCCACUGAGAAAUUUUGAACAGAAAUACAACUUGGUAUUUGCUGCAGAUCCCAAAUCUAUGCUGACAGGAUACAUGUCUCAUAGCUAACUAGAAGAGAAGCCGAUGAAUCGUGGAUGGCCAUAUGAGAGGCUAAAAGCUGUGUAUGAACUCACUCGUUUGCUUUUGCAGCAAGCGAGUGGCCUCAGAUUUUGGAUGGAACAUAUGAUACACAUGCUGCUCUCCUUCAGCUUCCACCAGCUAAAUUAUUUGAGGUGCUGUUACCCGUGAAGCAGUAGAAGAUUAAUGGUGAUGUACAUCCCAAAUGAGCAGGAUAUGACAAUUUUGGAAAGCAGAUGAUGAAAAUUUGGCGAUGAUUCUGGGCAGAGCACCCGAGAUGCAGUGGGGAGUCACCUUACAACUUAGAUUUUAGGAUCGCUAUAAUUUCAUUAUUAGAAAUGCAUUUUGCUUGCUAUAUUUUAGAUAGAAGUACAACUUUAUGCAUACUCGUCAUGCUGACAGCAUACGUGUUUUAUUGAUCGCAAGAGGCUUGUGAUGACCAUCUAAAAGUUAUGAAUGAACUCACUCAUUUGCUUCUGAAGCAAACGAGUCGCCUCAGAUUCAGGAUGGAGCAUAUGAUACACAUGCUUCUCUCCUUCGGCUUCCACCAGCUUCACCUCCACCCCGUUCUUCUCCAGAAAGGCUGCAUACAUAACUCCCCUUUCUUUUAAGAAAUCCAAACCAGCCACAUAAACCACAGCUGGUGGAAACCGACACCAUUCAGCCCUGGACAAUUCUGCCAUCUCAUAGUUACACCAAUAAUGGUCUCGGUUUGACCCUUCUGGCAAGCUUACUUUCCACAUCCAGUCGGUUAAUGCCAAAUUCUCAGCUUCUCCACUGGCCCUCUCCUUCUCAAUCCUCUCCUCGCUCCCAAAAAAAGGAUGUAUUAGCAACAACCCUUUAAUCUUGACUUGAUCACAAGAUUGUUCCUGAAUUGUUCUGAGAGCAACAUUGUGAACGAUGUUUCCUCCAGCACUGUCCCCUGAGAGAAACACUCGAGAGAGGUCAGCUCUCUGAAGCCAUGGUUCAGAGCUCACCUGGCAACUUAGCCACUCAAGUGAACUAUAACAAUCAUCAUAAGCUAUAGGGAGCCUGUUUUCAGGUGCAUGUCGGUAGUCCACAGAAAGAACUAUUGAUUGGGAAGCCACCGCAAAGUCUCCAAGGAAAGUAUGGUACCCAAGCCAUGUCGUUGAGCCUAAACAGAAACCGCCACCAUGGAAGUAAACUAGAACUGGAAGCCGGUCAGAGGAGCCCGGAACAUCAGGCAGAAAUAUUCGUGCAGAUAUUGGCUUGGUUGAGUUAAUGAUUACAUCCUUGGACUUAUAUCCAUUGGAUGAUGAAUCAUUGGAGGCAGGGGCGCUUUCCCAUUCCACACGUUUUAUUGAACCAUCAGAAAAAACUUUGAAGUAAGCUGAUGCUUCUCCAAUAAAGGACAUUGUUCUCAAAGCUUUGGAAGGGUGAUUUGAAGGUUGAAGAUGUCUGUGAAGUUGCAAAACGUUUGUUAGGGUAGUUAUAUAGGGUUUUGGGGAUGUCAAGGAAGACUAACAUUUAUUCACGCAACCGAGGAUGUUGGAUUGGUCACUAAAAGUGAAUUUGCAGCAUGGAGGAAAUUUUCAGUCAGGACAAAUAAAUUGGCAUAGUUGACAAUGAAAGCAAGGAAAAAGUUGGAGUGAAUGCCAACAAAAUGAGUUAUGGGCGGCUAAGACAAUUAACACCAGCAAAAUGAAAAUCCAAUUGGUGCAGCCCAAGAAAAAUAUGAUGGUCUUCUUCUCCCUGUCCAAUCAAGACAAGAAUUAACUCCCUAAUUUUUUACAUUUGAUUGAAAAUACCGGAGAUAUAUUCUCUGAUUCCUUCAAUCAAAUUUGUCUACAAGGUUCAAGGCGUUAUACUAAACCAUUGGAAAAGAUUUGCAGGAAACCGACACUUCAGCAACUAUGAGCAUUGUUCUCAAAACUUUGGUGGGAUGAUUGAAAAGUCCAAGAUUUCUGUGGAAUUUCAAAGAGUUUGUGGGAAAGUUCUAUAGGAUCUUUAGGGAUGUCAAGGAAUGCUAACAACAUAUUUAAAUGACGACAUUGGGUUGAUCAUGUCAAGUGAAAUCAAGGCAUGUUUAGGAGAGGUGGGGGGGCGGCAAAAAUUUAAGGAAUGUCAGGAAAACAAGUUAGAUUGAUUGACGAAAUGAGGGAGAAACCAAAGGCUCAUUUGGCCAUGUUUUCUAAAACUUGUUUUUAAGUUAAAUAACAAAAAACAAUUUUCAGAAAACAUAGUCAAUUUAAAAAACAAGUGAAAAUAACUUCUACUUGUUCUCUAUUUCACUUUGUUUUUAAAAAUUAUUUUAAGAGAACAACAACCAAAUAAAGUUAAGAAUUUUUUAAAAAUAUUUUUAAAUCAUAUGGUCAAAUAUCCAAAUGAACAAAUGCUGGGAAAAAUGAAAGUUUAAUUAAUGUAUGCCUAAAAGAACUAAGUUGGAAAGGCUGAUUGAGAAAAGUCAGUUGGUGGCUGGUGGAUAGGAAUAGGGAGAAACAGUGAUCAACUUCUCCUCGUCUAAUAUUCAUCUAGAGGGAAAAUUUCAGUCAAGACAGAGAAAGUGAGAAAGAUGGUUAUGAAAGCAAGGGAAGUUUUAUGUGAAGAAAAAGAAAAUGACAGUUGAUUUGGAAAGGGAGGGAAAAUUUUAGUCAAGGCAAAUAAAAUACCAAGAAAAUGAGUAAUGGACUGUGGGGAAAUUUAAGAAGAACAAUAUUUGCACCAAUUCCUAAAUUUUACUUGCUAUUUAGAAAUAUGAGUACAGCUUUAUAUUUUCUGAUCUUCACUGAAAGCAUACAUGUUUUAUUGAUAAGAAGGGGCCUGUGAUGGCCAUCUAAGAUGCUAGAAGCUGUGGAUGAACUCACUCAUUUGCUUUUGCAGAAGAUGGGUAGCCUCAGAUUGAGGAUGGUACACAUGAUACACAUGUGACUGAUCUUCAGCUUCCACCAGCUUCACCUCCACCCCUUUCUUCUCCAAAAAACCUGCAUACAUAACUCCCCUUUCUUUCAAGAAAUCCAAACCAGCCACAUAUACUACCACUGCUGGAAAACGACCCCAUUCAGCACUGGAAAUUGCAGCCCUUUCAAAGUUACACCCAGAAUAGUCCCGGUUUGAUCCUUGGGGCAAGCUUAGUUUCCAUAACAAAUCGUUCAUCGCAACAUAUCCAGCUGCUUCACCUUCCCUCUCCUUCUCAGUCCUCUCCUCACUCCCAAAAUAAGGAUGUACGGGCAACAAUCCUCUAAUCUUUACAUGAUCAUAAGUUUUUUCCUGAAUUACUUUGAGAGCAACAUUGUGAGCAAUGUUCCCUCCAGCACUAUCCCCUGAGAGAAACACACGACAGAGGUCGGCUCUCUCAAGCCAUGGUUCAGAGCUGACUUGGUUACUUAGCCACUCAAGUGAACUAAAACAAUCAUCAUAAGCUAUAGGGAGCCUGUUUUCAGGCGCAAGGCGGUAGUCCACAGAAAGAACUAUAGUUUGUGAGGCCACUGCUAAGUCCCCUAGGAAAGUAUGGUACCCAAGCCAUGCGGUUGAGCCAAUGCAGAAGCCACCACCAUGGAAGUAAACUAGAACAGGA
Molecule: long non-coding RNA, 6802 nt
Filed under: Vitis vinifera (wine grape)
Lineage: Eukaryota; Viridiplantae; Streptophyta; Magnoliopsida; Vitales; Vitaceae
Description: long non-coding RNA (VVIN_LNC000965)
Source: RNAcentral